Molecule: long non-coding RNA, 509 nt
Organism: Canis lupus familiaris (dog)
Lineage: Eukaryota; Metazoa; Chordata; Mammalia; Carnivora; Canidae
Exons: 3
Source: RefSeq, a predicted model, not a curated record
UGGGGCCAAGGAGAGGAAAAGGGACCUCAAGAGUCUGUAGCAAAGAAAUAAAGGGAGAGGAUACCCUCAGGAUGAGAACUCCCAAGGUCCAAGGGAGAGGUGGCCGUGCAGGUGGCUGGGAGAAGAAAGAGGGAAGGCUCCCAAGUGCAACAUGUGGAGUGGCUGGAGCCAUCUGAACAGGUUGAGAAGCCACUUCCUACUCUCUAGCCAAUGGGAAUUAGGAGUUACAAUGGGGAUUUUUGAGCCAGAGAAAGCAAGAAAUGGUUCGUGGGGCUGUGAGCCGGCAUCUGACUUAACUGCUAUAAACCAUCAACCCAUUCCAGCAUGAAAACCUUGACAAUUUAAAUCUGCUCUCCAGGGAGAAAGAGGAGAGAGAGAGAAACAAUGUUCUUCCCUUUAAUUUGGUGAGAAUAAGCAGCAAGUAUGAUGUGAGGAACCUCCUGUUUUGUGCUGUGCCUUUGAAGAAAGAACAAAACACAAUGUCCAGAGAUAAAUUGUCCUGUUCUGAA